Long non-coding RNA from Acipenser ruthenus (sterlet), 1751 nucleotides. RefSeq lists it as uncharacterized. Lineage: Eukaryota; Metazoa; Chordata; Actinopteri; Acipenseriformes; Acipenseridae. The transcript is spliced from 8 exons. The record is from RefSeq and is a predicted model, not a curated record.
AUGCAAUUCAAAUUCCUCUUCAUGAAGCAAACCACAGUGAAAUAAUACAUGCAAUUCAAAUUCCUCUACAUGAAGCAAACCACAGUGAAAUAAUGCCUGAAAUUCAAAUUCCUCUUCAUGAAGCAAACCACAGUGAAAUAAUGCCUGAAAUUCUAAUAUGCUAGUGAGUAAUUAUUUUUUUAAUGGAUUAGUAAAUUUUGGUUGCUAUUAUCAUUAAUAUAUGCUUUGGAAGAUAUAUCGCAUUGUAUUACUUUUAAUAUGCAUUUUAUUAGUACUGAAGUUUCAAACUUUGUACUGUAACUAUUGUGUUUUUAACCUAAUAGAUGGCUGUGUCAGCCAAAUAUUGUGAGACUUAUGGCUGCAGCAAAAACAGACAUGUAUUCUGAUGGCAAGUGAAUACAGCCAUGGAGCCAGUUUGGAUGACACACUUCACAGAAAUGAUGGCCCAGUAAAGCGAACACAGUGGUUCCUAUCGUGAGGUUCUGUGGCUGGUACAGGCUGUCGAUUAUGGAAGAGUCGAAGGUUCCAUCCCAGACUACAGUUGCUAACCAAGGGGUGACCGUCAUCACAUCCGAUCUCCUGGAGAAGAAGACACACUUCACUGUCCGUUAUCAUAUCAGGCAGUUCAUCAUUGUGACUAGUUUCAUGACUAUGCAGUCAAAAGGUAUUUCUACAGAGUCACCUCUAACAGACUGGCUACCAACCAGUUUUAGAGUUAUAAGCAUUACUAAUACCCAUGUUUCUGGGUUUGUCUAUACAAGAGAUGAACUAAACAAUGUGCUAGAGUGUCACACGAGGGCCACUUUGACAUCUUUCACUGUCUGAACAAGUAUGUGAGCUAGGAGAUGGGCAUGUUCAGGUGAAGAGUGAGAUGUCAGCUGAGUGGUAUACUGUUGAUCUGGGUGAUGAAGACAGAUUUCCAUUUUGCCACUCAUCAGAUGAAUCAGCUGUAGGGAAGAAAUGCGGUCAAUUGAGCAACUCCACAAAGGAUGUCUCUGAAGCAGACAGACUACUGGCAGAGCUGAACGAUCACCAGCAUGUAGUUGUUCAAAGGGACAGACAGGUCAGAUACCAUGUGUAUGGGGAAGUACAGGGACUUUGAUACUCUGCAGCAUCCUAACUGGCUGAAUGACAAGGUUCAACUGUACAAGUUUACAUGGAUAUUUGUUCCCAUCAACGUCAAUGCAAAUCUUUGGGUACUUCUAGCAGCAAACAUUCCACAAAUGGAAGUUUCAAUAUUGGAUUCCUUGCCUAGAAACAACAACAUCCAGUACGUGGAAAUGUGGAGGUGUGUAAUGGUUGUCAUAAAAGAUUGAAUACUUUGAUGCUUAAGAACUCAAGCCAUGUAAAUCAGAUUGUACCUUCAAUCUCUCUCCCGCUCUGUUCCUCCUCUGCAUGCCGACUGGUCUCGCCUUCCCUCAACUGUUCUACUGCCCUUGCUCGUUCCUUUUCCUCUCUUGCUCCCCAGUGGAGGAACCAGCUGCCUGUGAGCAUCAGAACUACACUGUGCAACACCACGUUCCGACACCUCCUCAAAACUCAUCUGUUUAGACUCCACUUGUAAAUCCUGCAAAAUUUCUCUUCUGCCUUUUUCUAUCAUUUUUCUGUACUGUCCUAUUUAAUCUGCUGCCAUGUUUUUCUAUGUUUUUAUUUACUCUGUGCUUUUUAGUGUUCAUUGUUGUCUGUGGCUAAAUUUAUUAUAGUGAUGUUGAAGUUGCUACAUGUUAUUGUUGAUUUUAUAUUAGAUUGUA